GUAAAAUUAUUUAAAAAUACAACAAUACAAUAACACAUCAACAACAUUCUGAAUACUACAACAAUACUUACUAAAUUACUUUUCAACAAUUUAGAAAAAUAAUAUAUACCAUAAUACAAGAAUACAAUGACAUUGUCAAAAACACGUUAACAUUCUCAAUACAAUAACACAAUAAGAAUGAAAUAACUACAACAACAAUAUAUAACAAUCUCAAUCUCAC
RNAcentral lists this long non-coding RNA (220 nucleotides) under Lathyrus oleraceus (garden pea). Its description in RNAcentral is "Pisum sativum (pea) long non-coding RNA (PSAT_LNC027780)". Lineage: Eukaryota; Viridiplantae; Streptophyta; Magnoliopsida; Fabales; Fabaceae. The record is from RNAcentral.